CCGCGGUAAAACCAGCUCCCCGAGGGGUUCCCACGCAUACUGGGCCUAAAGCGUCCGUAGCCGGCCCUGUAAGUCUGCAGUUAAAUCCGCCUGUAGACAGGCGGGUUGCUGCAGAUACUGCAGGGCUAGGGAGCGGGAGGAGCCGGGGGUAUUCCCGGGGGAGCGGUAAAAUGCGUAGAUCCCGGGAGGACCACCAGUGGCGAAGGCGCCCGGCUUGAACGCGUCCGACGGUGAGGGACGAAAGCUGGGGGAGCAAACCGGAUUAGAUACCCGGGUAGUCCCAGCCGUAAACGAUGCCGGCUAGGUGCUGGCCAAGGUUUCGGCCUUGGCCAGUGUCGAAGCGAAGGCAUUAAGCCGGCCGCCUGAGGAGUACGGCCGCAAGGCUGAAACUUGAAGGAAUUGACGGGGGGGCACCACAAGGGGUGAAUGCCUGCGGCUUAAUUGGACUCAACGCCGGGAAUCUUACCGGGGGCGACAGCAGGAUGAAGGUCAGUCUGAAGACCUUACCAGACGCGCUGAGGGGUGGUGCAUGGCCGUCGCCAGCUCGUGCCGUGAGGUGUCCUGUUAAGUCAGGCAACGAGCGAGACCCCCGCCCCUAGUUGCCAGCGGCCUCCUUCGGGAGGGACCGGGCAAACUAGGGGGACCUCCUCCGAAGAGGAGGAGGAAGGUGGGGGCUACGGCAGGUCAGUAUGCCCCUAAUCCCCCGGGCCGCACGCGGGCU
Molecule: ribosomal RNA, 721 nt
Filed under: uncultured korarchaeote
Lineage: Archaea; Thermoproteati; Thermoproteota
Description: bacterial SSU rRNA
Rfam family: Archaeal small subunit ribosomal RNA
Source: RNAcentral